Schistocerca gregaria is the source of this 290-nucleotide long non-coding RNA. RefSeq lists it as uncharacterized. The transcript is spliced from 2 exons. The record is from RefSeq and is a predicted model, not a curated record. Lineage: Eukaryota; Metazoa; Arthropoda; Insecta; Orthoptera; Acrididae.
UUUUGUGGUAGCAUAAGCUAUUUCAAUUCUUAUCGAUAUUGCUGAAAGCGUCUUAAUACAAACUGGUCAUAGCACGAUGGUCUGUGGAAUAGGAAUUUUGUAAGUUUGUAUUCUGUGACAGAAGAUAGAAGAUGCUGGCACCUGACCCCAUCCGACAGAUGGAUCACUAUCAACAGUGUCACGUGUGCACUCAGUGAGAUGCUGUGGGGAGGUUUCAAAUUUAAUAUAGAGCAUUUGUCCAGAGUGUAAUGAAAUGAAACUGCUACGCAAAAAUAAAAAUUGUUAAUUGA